GGCCUCGUAGCUCAGCUGGUAGGGCGUGCGCAUACAAAGCGUAGGCGGUAUCCACGCGUGAGUUCGAAGCCCAUCGAGGCUA
RNAcentral lists this transfer RNA (82 nucleotides) under Echinostoma caproni. It matches the Rfam family "tRNA". From Rfam's summary of the family: Transfer RNA (tRNA) molecules are approximately 80 nucleotides in length. The record is from Rfam by way of RNAcentral. Lineage: Eukaryota; Metazoa; Platyhelminthes; Trematoda; Plagiorchiida; Echinostomatidae.